RNAcentral lists this ribosomal RNA (90 nucleotides) under Hyphomicrobiales bacterium. Its description in RNAcentral is "Rhizobiales bacterium partial 16S ribosomal RNA". It matches the Rfam family "Bacterial small subunit ribosomal RNA", at positions 1 to 101 of the family's 1533-position model. Lineage: Bacteria; Pseudomonadati; Pseudomonadota; Alphaproteobacteria; Hyphomicrobiales. The record is from RNAcentral.
UCAAACUUGAGAGUUUGAUCCUGGCUCAGAACGAACGCUGGCGGCAGGCUUAACACAUGCAAGUCGAACGCCCCGCAAGGGGAGUGGCAG